Molecule: ribosomal RNA, 253 nt
Filed under: uncultured bacterium
Lineage: Bacteria
Description: partial 16S ribosomal RNA
Rfam family: Bacterial small subunit ribosomal RNA
Source: RNAcentral
UACGUAGGGGGCAAGCGUUGUCCGGAAUCAUUGGGCGUAAAGCGCGUGUAGGCGGCUCGAUAAGUCUGCUGUGAAAGUCCAGGGCCCAACCCUGGGAUGCCGGUGGAUACUGUCGAGCUUGAGUCCGGAAGAGGCGAGUGGAAUUCCUGGUGUAGCGGUGAAAUGCGCAGAUAUCAGGAGGAACACCUAUGGCGAAGGCAGCUCGCUGGGACGUGACUGACGCUGAGACGCGAAAGCGUGGGGAGCAAACAGG